GAUGAACGCUGGCGGCGUGCCUAAUACAUGCAAGUCGAGCGAACAGAUAAGGAGCUUGCUCCUUUGACGUUAGCGGCGGACGGGUGAGUAACACGUGGAUAACCUACCUAUAAGACUGGGAUAAAUUCGGGAAACCGGAGCUAAUACCGGAUAACAUAUUGAACCGCAUGGUUCAAUAGUGAAAGGCGGCUUUGCUGUCACUUAUAGAUGGAUCCGCGCCGUAUUAGCUAGUUGGUAAGGUAACGGCUUACCAAGGCAACGAUACGUAGCCGACCUGAGAGGGUGAUCGGCCACACUGGAACUGAGACACGGUCCAGACUCCUACGGGAGGCAGCAGUAGGGAAUCUUCCGCAAUGGGCGAAAGCCUGACGGAGCAACGCCGCGUGAGUGAUGAAGGUCUUCGGAUCGUAAAACUCUGUUAUCAGGGAAGAACAAGUGUGUAAGUAACUGUGCACAUCUUGACGGUACCUGAUCAGAAAGCCACGGCUAACUACGUG
Molecule: ribosomal RNA, 497 nt
Filed under: uncultured bacterium
Lineage: Bacteria
Description: partial 16S ribosomal RNA
Rfam family: Bacterial small subunit ribosomal RNA
Source: RNAcentral